Long non-coding RNA from Magnolia sinica, 1195 nucleotides. RefSeq lists it as uncharacterized. The record is from RefSeq and is a predicted model, not a curated record. Lineage: Eukaryota; Viridiplantae; Streptophyta; Magnoliopsida; Magnoliales; Magnoliaceae. The transcript is spliced from 2 exons.
CUUCUAUCAAGAUAUGUUUCUGAAAGUGGAGCACUUGUUCCUCCCCAUAUUUUGAUUCAGAAGUUGCAUAUAUGUCGUUUCAUUCAGUGCCUGCCUCCAAGCAUUAGGGUUAAUUUCAUGACACAUAUCAGGAAUCUUACUAUUUGCAGCUGCAUCAGGUGAGCAUUGAACUAUGUUUUUAGGACCUCAAUUUAGUUUAGGAGGAUCUAGUGUCUAGGUUUCGAUUGCGACUUCUAUUCUAGUUACAGGCAAGUUACGUAAGAUGCUGCUGCUCUGUUGAGUAUGGAUUGAGGAAAUAUUGGAGCUGGGAUGUCCACCAAGAGAUUUUUGGCCCAUAUAAAGGCAGGACAGUUAUGAAAAGUCAAGGAUUCUAGUUCUUUAAUGAUCCUUUGUCUGAUGGAGUGCAGGCAUGCAGGGGAAGGUGUAACCUUUUUAGGUGCUGAAAUGCUUCAGUAUGUCCAGAGGCUAUAGUUUCUACUAUUUGUCGCACUGAUAUGAAUGUGAAGGGACUUGCAGACUAAAUCACUUGGUAACCACUCGGUUAGUGUAUCUCGUCUAAACCUUCCACACUGGUCAAGGAGUUCUUAAACCAAGUGAUGGUCUAUUGUGGCUGGUAUGGAUUUGGAAAACCAUCAUUUGUCUCUGCAGUUACUUUGGGUGCUGCUGGAAUUAAAAAGCUACCUGUAAGCGAAGAAAUAGAUGUGACCCAGUUGCAUGUAUUGCAGGGGGUCCAUGAAGGGACUUUCGGACUCUGAUGAACCAUGUUACUAUUACAGUCAAAGGAUUGUUGAGACAUCUUCACUGAGUUUUGAAUGUGAAGUAUUUGACUCUGACCCUCAAAUUAUAUGCCAAACAUCAUGACAGCAAAAGGCAUUAUUUUCUAGUUAAACCACCCUCUACAGGUAAGCUGCCAUCAUUUGGUCCUAUGAUGGAAGCUUGCUUGCUUGAGGCAUAUGAUAUGUCGUAUUAUUGGACUUUAAAUGGUACUGAUUUUGCAUUUGGUUCCUUCUGCAGUUUUGCUAAAGGUGAUACUGCACAUGACUGAGCUUUGUAGGAGAUACAGAUCUGUUAAUUGCUAUUGCAUCCAUUUAAUAACUCAAAUCAUUGUUUGUUGAUUCAUUCUUAUUAGGUGGACGAUUUUUUGUGAUGUUUAUGGUAGAACUUUUCUUAGCUAUUUUUCCCAUUAUAUGAUAAA